CGNGAAGANCCUUNCCAAGGCUUGACAUGGAUUUNUAAGCACGUGAAAGCGUGUGACCCUUCGGGGAACUUCCACAGGUGCUGCAUGGCCGUCGUCAGCUCGUGUCGUGAGAUGUUGGGUUAAGUCCCGCAACGAGCGCAACCCUUGUGAUUAGUUGCCAGCGGGUAAUGCCGGGAACUCUAAUCAGACUGCCCAGAUCAACUGGGAGGAAGGUGGGGACGACGUCAGGUCAGUAUGGCCCUUACGCCUUGGGCUGCACACGUACUACAAUGCCCAGUACAAUGAGAACCGAGACCGCGAGGUGGAGGAAAUCUAUAAAACUGGGCCCAGUUCGGAUUGGAGGCUGCAACUCGCCUCCAUGAAGUUGGAAUCGCUAGUAAUGGCGCAUCANCUACNGCGCCGUGAAUACNUUCCCGGGUCUUGUACACACCGA
This 433-nucleotide ribosomal RNA is filed under the name uncultured Luteolibacter sp. Its description in RNAcentral is "bacterial SSU rRNA". It matches the Rfam family "Bacterial small subunit ribosomal RNA", at positions 960 to 1393 of the family's 1533-position model. The record is from RNAcentral. Lineage: Bacteria; Pseudomonadati; Verrucomicrobiota; Verrucomicrobiia; Verrucomicrobiales; Verrucomicrobiaceae.